RNAcentral lists this ribosomal RNA (497 nucleotides) under uncultured bacterium. RNAcentral's name for it is "partial 16S ribosomal RNA". It matches the Rfam family "Bacterial small subunit ribosomal RNA", at positions 28 to 507 of the family's 1533-position model. The record is from RNAcentral.
GAUGAACGCUGGCGGCGUGCCUAAUACAUGCCAGUCGAGCGAACAGACGAGGAGCUUGCUCCUCUGACGUUAGCGGCGGACGGGUGAGUAACACGUGGAUAACCUACCUAUAAGACUGGGAUAACUUCGGGAAACCGGAGCUAAUACCGGAUAAUAUAUUGAACCGCAUGGUUCAAUAGUGAAAGACGGUUUUGCUGUCACUUAUAGAUGGAUCCGCGCCGCAUUAGCUAGUUGGUAAGGUAACGGCUUACCAAGGCGACGAUGCGUAGCCGACCUGAGAGGGAGAUCGGCCACACUGGAACUGAGACACGGUCCAGACUCCUACGGGAGGCAGCAGUAGGGAAUCUUCCGCAAUGGGCGAAAGCCUGACGGAGCAACGCCGCGUGAGUGAUGAAGGUCUUCGGAUCGUAAAACUCUGUUAUUAGGGAAGAACAAAUGUGUAAGUAACUAUGCACGUCUUGACGGUACCUAAUCAGAAAGCCACGGCUAACUACGUG